This 627-nucleotide ribosomal RNA is filed under the name Aquimarina atlantica. RNAcentral's name for it is "bacterial SSU rRNA". It matches the Rfam family "Bacterial small subunit ribosomal RNA", at positions 117 to 743 of the family's 1533-position model. Lineage: Bacteria; Pseudomonadati; Bacteroidota; Flavobacteriia; Flavobacteriales; Flavobacteriaceae. The record is from RNAcentral.
GUAUAGAACCUACCUUAUAGUAAGGGAUAGCCCAGAGAAAUUUGGAUUAAUACCUUAUAGUAUCGUUUAGAUGCAUAUUUAAAUGAUUAAAGAUUUAUCGCUAUAAGAUGGCUAUGCGUUCUAUUAGCUAGUUGGUAUGGUAACGGCAUACCAAGGCUACGAUAGAUAGGGGUCCUGAGAGGGAGAUCCCCCACACUGGUACUGAGACACGGACCAGACUCCUACGGGAGGCAGCAGUGAGGAAUAUUGGACAAUGGAGGCAACUCUGAUCCAGCCAUGCCGCGUGUAGGAAGACUGCCCUAUGGGUUGUAAACUACUUUUAUAGAGGAAGAAACCAUUCCACGUGUGGAAUGCUGACGGUACUCUACGAAUAAGGAUCGGCUAACUCCGUGCCAGCAGCCGCGGUAAUACGGAGGAUCCAAGCGUUAUCCGGAAUCAUUGGGUUUAAAGGGUCCGUAGGCGGUUUAGUAAGUCAGUGGUGAAAGUUUUCGGCUCAACCGGAAAAUUGCCAUUGAUACUGCAAGACUUGAAUUAUUGUGAAGUGGUUAGAAUGUGUAGUGUAGCGGUGAAAUGCAUAGAUAUUACACAGAAUACCGAUUGCGAAGGCAGAUCACUAACAAUUAAUGA